RNAcentral lists this ribosomal RNA (274 nucleotides) under uncultured bacterium. RNAcentral's name for it is "partial 16S ribosomal RNA". It matches the Rfam family "Bacterial small subunit ribosomal RNA", at positions 523 to 796 of the family's 1533-position model. The record is from RNAcentral.
CUACGGAGGGUGCAAGCGUUAUUCGGAAUCACUGGGCGUAAAGGACGCGUAGGCGGGUUGGCAAGUCAGAUGUGAAAUCCUACAGCUUAACUGUAGAACUGCAUUUGAAACUGCUAACCUAGAGUAUGGGAGGGGGAGAUGGAAUUAGUGGUGUAGCGGUAAAAUCCGUAGAUAUCACUAGGAAUACCGAAAGCGAAGGCGAUCUCCUGGAACAUAACUGACGCUAAGGCGUGAAAGCGUGGGGAGCAAACAGGAUUAGAAACCCUAGUAGUCC